AUGACCACGACUUACUUUGUCCGUGUCAACAAACAAUUCGAAAUACCUCGACUUUUUCAGAACAGGUCCGAGUCAAAUAGCAAUGAUUCGAAGCACUUCUUUUUACAUUACACUAUUUCAGAAACCUAA
Molecule: ribosomal RNA, 129 nt
Filed under: Triticum aestivum (bread wheat)
Lineage: Eukaryota; Viridiplantae; Streptophyta; Magnoliopsida; Poales; Poaceae
Description: partial small subunit ribosomal RNA
Source: RNAcentral